RNAcentral lists this ribosomal RNA (689 nucleotides) under uncultured Candidatus Saccharibacteria bacterium. Its description in RNAcentral is "partial 16S ribosomal RNA". It matches the Rfam family "Bacterial small subunit ribosomal RNA", at positions 571 to 1266 of the family's 1533-position model. Lineage: Bacteria; Candidatus Saccharimonadota. The record is from RNAcentral.
GUAGGUGGUUUAAUAAGCGAAUAGUGAAAUCUGGUGGCUCAACCAUUCAGACUAUUAUUCGAACUGUUAAACUCGAGAGCAGAAGAGGUAGCNUGGAAUUUCUAGUGUAGGAGUGAAAUCCGUAGAUAUUAGAAGGAACACCGAUGGCGUAGGCAGGCUACNUGGGCUGUUUCUGACACUGAGGCACGAAAGCGUGGGGAGCGAACCGGAUUAGAUACCCGGGUAGUCCACGCCGUAAACGAUGGAUACUAGCUGUUUGGGGUAUCGACCCCCUGAGUAGCGAAGCUAACGCGUUAAGUAUCCCGCCUGUGGAGUACGAUCGCAAGAUUAAAACAUAAAGGAAUUGACGGGGACCCGCACAAGCGGUGGAUCAUGUUCUUUAAUUCGAUGAUAACCGAUAAACCUUACCAGGUCUUGACAUCCUUGGAAUCUUUCAGAAAUGAUAGAGUGCUUUUUAAGAGCCAAGUGACAGGUGAUGCAUGGCCGUCGUCAGCUCGUGUCGUGAGAUGUUUGGUUAAGUCCAUCAACGAGCGCAACCCUUGUCAGUAGUUGUAUUUUUCUACUGAGACUGCCCCGGUAACGGNGAGGAAGGAGGGGNAUGACNNUCNGGUCAGUAUUUCCCUUACGUCCNGGGGCUANAAACGUANUACANUGGCUAGUACAAUGCNCNACCNAANCCGCNAGGUGAA